Molecule: long non-coding RNA, 373 nt
Filed under: Bos taurus (domestic cattle)
Lineage: Eukaryota; Metazoa; Chordata; Mammalia; Artiodactyla; Bovidae
Description: long non-coding RNA NONBTAT009647
Source: RNAcentral
AAGAAAGCUAACAGUUGCCCUGGCAUAAUAUACUGAGUAAUUUUGCCCCACUAACUUGUCGAUGCCUCUUUAAUUGUAUGCUAAAUGAGAAACCAAAAUCAAUGUGAUGCAUUUUGAGAUUUUUUUUCUUUUUUCCCCUAAAUGUAAAUCUCUCUCUCUCUUUUAAACAAUUAUGAGCAUGUUUCAUGCCUUCCUGUUAAAAAUCCAAACAUUACAGAGGGUGUAGAGGAAAAUGUGAAAGCUUUCAGCCCCCUGGGCCUCUGUUAAGUUGGGUUUGUUUUUUCAUAAGCUGAAAAUUUAUUCAAUCUAAGUUGAAUUUUUUUUCUUUAUCUCCACAAUGUAUUGAAGUAAAUACAUAAACAUAAACCAAAUG